Molecule: non-coding RNA, 30 nt
Filed under: Mus musculus (house mouse)
Lineage: Eukaryota; Metazoa; Chordata; Mammalia; Rodentia; Muridae
Source: RNAcentral
UGGUGUCUCAAGGAACUCUGUGACUUAUGU